Molecule: ribosomal RNA, 88 nt
Filed under: Yersinia pestis
Lineage: Bacteria; Pseudomonadati; Pseudomonadota; Gammaproteobacteria; Enterobacterales; Yersiniaceae
Also listed under: 2 other names
Source: RNAcentral
CUGAUCCCAUGCCGAACUCAGAAGUGAAACGCCGUAGCGCCGAUGGUAGUGUGGGGUCUCCCCAUGCGAGAGUAGGACACUGCCAGGC